RNAcentral lists this transfer-messenger RNA (400 nucleotides) under Gammaproteobacteria (g-proteobacteria). RNAcentral describes it as "JAHJDF01 sp018812595 Standard tmRNA". It matches the Rfam family "transfer-messenger RNA". Rfam says of the family: Bacterial tmRNA, also known as 10Sa RNA or SsrA, is named for its dual tRNA and mRNA-like properties. Its role is to liberate the mRNA from a stalled ribosome. The record is from RNAcentral. RNAcentral also lists the same sequence under 1 other name. Lineage: Bacteria; Pseudomonadati; Pseudomonadota.
GGGGGCGACCUGGCUUCGACGUGGGUUGCGAAACCGAAGGGGCAUGCCGAGGAUGUAGCUGACCUCGUAAAUUACGCUGCAAUAAAGUAGUCGCAAACGACGAAACUUUUGCUGGUGGUGAGGCAAUAAAAGCUGCGUAAGCAGUUUGAGCCAAAUCACACUUCGUUCUAAGAAAACGAAACAGUCCAUUGACCGAAUGUGCUUAUGCGUUCGACUCAGUGGUCAUAUUACAUAAGCUCGCAACACGUGUUCUCGACACGGCGUUGUUAAAAAAAAGAGAUCGCUCAUCGCUUUCCCUGUCGGUCGGGUAACGUUGAGUUAAAUUAAAGAUUCGACUACGCAUGUAGAACCAACGGCAGAGGAUUUGCGGACGCGGGUUCAAUUCCCGCCGCCUCCACCA